This 544-nucleotide long non-coding RNA is filed under the name Phoenix dactylifera (date palm). Its description in RNAcentral is "long non-coding RNA (PDAC_LNC021830)". The record is from RNAcentral. Lineage: Eukaryota; Viridiplantae; Streptophyta; Magnoliopsida; Arecales; Arecaceae.
AUCCCUACAGUACGGAGGUCAUGGACAACUCGUCAAACCCCAUCGUCUGUCAUAUGUGAAGAUUUAUUCGACUUAAGUUCGAGAGUGGAAAACUCUUUUUACACUGUGCAUACUGCUCCGGCCGAGGUCUUACGAACUCAGUCUUAUAAAUCACAUAGGAUCUCUCCUUAUCUAUCAAGGUCGAUAGAUUCCUUAUAGGUGCAUAUCCUACUCCUACAGUGAACCUACUGCAGCCAAUCUACACUGCAUGGACCCAUAUUGUUGCCCAGAGAUGGUCACCCAAGAGGGGGGUGAAUUGAGUGUUUUAAAACUCUUCGGCUAAUUAAAAAUAAAACACACAAAUAUAUGAAAUAAGGUAAUGAUAGUGGGAUGAGAAGAGACAAUCACAAACACACGGUUUUAUAGUGGUUCGGAGCUUCCACCGCUCCUACAUCCACUCCCCAAAGCGCCUUUGGGUAUUUCCACUAUAAUCCAAGAUUACAGUACAGUAGUUUUGCGAGUUUACUACCCAACUCGUUGUUUUACACCGGGCUCACAACAACCC